GCAGUGGGGAAUAUUGCACAAUGGGGGAAACCCUGAUGCAGCCAUGCCGCGUGUGUGAAGAAGGCCUUCGGGUUGUAAAGCACUUUCAGUAGGGAGGAAGGUAGUGUAGUUAACACCUGCAUUAUUUGACGUUACCUACAGAAGAAGCACCGGCUAACUCCGUGCCAGCAGCCGCGGUAAUACGGAGGGUGCGAGCGUUAAUCGGAAUUACUGGGCGUAAAGCGCAUGCAGGCGGCCUGUUAAGUCAGAUGUGAAAGCCCGGGGCUUAACCUCGGAAUUGCAUUUGAAACUGGCAGGCUAGAGUCUUGUAGAGGGGGUAGAAUUUCAGGUGUAGCGGUGAAAUGCGUAGAGAUCUGAAUGAAUACCAGUGGCGAAGGCGGCCCCCUGGACAAAGACUGACGCUCAGAUGCGAAAGCGUGGGGAGCAAACAGGAUUAGAUACCCUGGUAG
RNAcentral lists this ribosomal RNA (449 nucleotides) under uncultured bacterium. RNAcentral's name for it is "bacterial SSU rRNA". It matches the Rfam family "Bacterial small subunit ribosomal RNA", at positions 351 to 793 of the family's 1533-position model. The record is from RNAcentral.